RNAcentral lists this ribosomal RNA (1427 nucleotides) under metagenome. Its description in RNAcentral is "bacterial LSU rRNA". It matches the Rfam family "Bacterial large subunit ribosomal RNA", at positions 1486 to 2925 of the family's 2925-position model. The record is from RNAcentral.
UUGUGCUAGCGAUUGGAAAUGCUAGUCUAAGCGUUUAGGAAGUUACAGUAGGCAAAUCCGCUGUAACAAUUCUGAGGCGUGAUGGGGAAGGUCAUUAAGACCGAAGUACAUGAUUCCAUGCUUCCAAGAAAAGCAUCUAGAGAGAGAAGUAGUGCCCGUACCGCAAACCGACACAGGUAGAUGAGGAGAGAAUCCUAAGGCCGGCGGAAGAAUUGCAGUUAAGGAACUAGGCAAAUUGACCCCGUAAGUUCGCGAGAAGGGGUGCCUGCGAGAGCAGGCCGCAGAGAAUAGGCCCAAGCAACUGUUUAGCAAAAACACAGGUCUCUGCUAAAGCGUAAGCUGAUGUAUAGGGGCUGACGCCUGCCCGGUGCUGGAAGGUUAAGGGGAACACUUAGCGCAAGCGAAGGUGUGAACUUAAGCCCCAGUAAACGGCGGCCGUAACAAUAACGGUCCUAAGGUAGCGAAAUUCCAUGUCAGGUAAGUUCUGACCCGCACGAAUGGCGUAAUGACUUGGGCACUGUCUCAACUGCAAAUCCGGCGAAGUUGUAGUGCGAGUGAAGAUGCUCGCUACCCGCGAUUGGACGAAAAGACCCCGUAGAGCUUUACUGUAGCUUAGCAUUGAAUUCCGGUAUUGUCUGUACAGGAUAGGUGGGAGACUGGGAAACUAGGGCGUCAGCCUUAGUGGAGUCAACCUUGGGAUACCACCCUGACAGUACUGGGGUUCUAACAGGACGCCAUGAAACUGGUGACUGGACAUUGUUAGGUGGGCAGUUUGACUGGGGCGGUCGCCUCCUAAAAAGUAACGGAGGCGCCCAAAGGUUCCCUCAGAACGGUCGGAAAUCGUUCGUAGAGUGCAAAGGCAGAAGGGAGCCUGACUGCGAGACCUACAAGUCGAGCAGGGACGAAAGUCGGGCUUAGUGAUCCGGUGGUACCUCGUGGGAGGGCCAUCGCUCAACGGAUAAAAGCUACCUCGGGGAUAACAGGCUGAUCUCCCCCAAGAGUCCACAUCGACGGGGAGGUUUGGCACCUCGAUGUCGGCUCGUCGCAUCCUGGGGCUGUAGUAGGUCCCAAGGGUUGGGCUGUUCGCCCAUUAAAGCGGCACGCGAGCUGGGUUCAGAACGUCGUGAGACAGUUCGGUCCCUAUCCGUCGCGGGCGUAGGAAAUUUGAGAGGAGCUGUCCUUAGUACGAGAGGACCGGGAUGGACUGACCUCUGGUGCACCAGUUGUUCUGCCAAGAGCAUGGCUGGGUAGCUAAGUCGGGAAGGGAUAAACGCUGAAAGCAUCUAAGCGUGAAGCCCCCCUCAAGAUGAGAUUUCCCAUAGCAUAAGCUAGUAAGACCCCAUGAAGAACACAAGGUUGAUAGGUCAGAGGUGGAAGUGCGGUAACGUAUGUAGCUGACUGAUACUAAUAGGUCGAGGGCUUGACCG